Molecule: transfer RNA, 59 nt
Filed under: Scorpiops tibetanus
Lineage: Eukaryota; Metazoa; Arthropoda; Arachnida; Scorpiones; Euscorpiidae
Description: tRNA-Ser
Source: RNAcentral
AGGGAGGAUUUAAGUUAAGCUGCUAACUUAACUCUCAAUUUUAGUUUAUUGCCUUUCUG